UUAAAUAACUAAAACUACAUUAAAUCAAUUAUCUGAUAACUAAGUUACAUGAUUCUAACACAGUUGAGCUCUGAACCAUAACUCACUAAACUAAGUCAUGAGCCUCUAAUGAUUUAAAUUUGAAUACAUUAACUGUAACGCAUUGAAUAAAUAAUGUGCCAAAAAAAAUAACAUAAGCUGAAGAAAUCCGACCACCAAUGAAAAACUAACAGGGCUCGCCAACUGAGUCCACGGAGUCUGUCUCUAGCCACAUAUCUCAUCACCUACAAUCUCAACACUUGCCACACAACGUGACAAGCCCAAACAGGCUAAGUACCACCAAAGGAUACCCAGUAAGUCUCAUUGGCUACUCUUAAAAGAUAGAGCAAGAUUUUCUGGGAAAAUCAUAAAACGAAAGGAAGGGGGUUCAGAUAAUAUCAUGGCAAUAAAUUCAGUAAAUAAUAAAUGAGCUAGAAACUGAAACUAUAAGCAAAAUUGUAAGUUGAUAACUGAAAACAUAGAAACUGAGUUUAUAACUGUUAACUCAUGAAACUGAAGCUGGAAACUAAAUUAGCUUCAAAGAAAUAACAUUUCUGGAAAAUAGUUAUACAUAGUGGUCCUACGUACGUGAGAUCUAGCAACACGAACGGGGGAGUGUCGGCCUAUCUCACCAGCACAUAAUAGCCCCUACGAGCAUUGGAUCGCUAACCCUAGCAUCAAAGCACUCACACAAGGGGAGGUCGGCUAGCUCUCCCUUCUGAAUGUGAUCACAUUAAUGCAUAAAUGAGUGUUGAAACAAAAUAUAAAUAUCACAACCAAAGGCACACAGCAAAUAAUAAUACAUAUAAGCAUAUAUAAGACUGGCACAUUGCAUUUAAAGUCAUACUAAAUAAGAAUAGAGUAAUCUAAGUACCGGAGCAUAAACAGAUAUGGCUUAGAAAUUUCAUCGAAUACAUAGAAGCAUGUUCGCUCUAAUGGAAU
This 960-nucleotide long non-coding RNA is filed under the name Nicotiana tabacum (common tobacco). RNAcentral's name for it is "long non-coding RNA (NTAB_LNC008445)". The record is from RNAcentral. Lineage: Eukaryota; Viridiplantae; Streptophyta; Magnoliopsida; Solanales; Solanaceae.